RNAcentral lists this RNase P RNA (361 nucleotides) under Comamonadaceae bacterium. Its description in RNAcentral is "RNase P RNA component class A". It matches the Rfam family "Bacterial RNase P class A". From Rfam's summary of the family: Ribonuclease P (RNase P) is a ubiquitous endoribonuclease, found in archaea, bacteria and eukarya as well as chloroplasts and mitochondria. The record is from RNAcentral. Lineage: Bacteria; Pseudomonadati; Pseudomonadota; Betaproteobacteria; Burkholderiales; Comamonadaceae.
GAAGUCCACCAGGCCGCCGCUGGCGCUAUUCGCAAGAACGAUGCUUCGGCAUCGGCCCGAAAGGGCGCGCUGGAGGAAUGUCCGGACUGCAAAGGGCAGCGUAGCAGGUAACACCUGUCCACCGUGAGGUGAGGAUCAGAGCAACAGAGACGAGCCGGUUCAGUCCGGGUGAAACGGGCAAUCUCUACGCGCAGCAAUACCAAAUAGGCACACGUUGAACGGCAACGUUCUGCCCGCGGCCCGCGGGAUGUGUGCGGGUAGGUAGCACCGAGCCGGGGAGCGAUUCCCGGCCCAGAUUAAUGGCGGUCACGCUGGGGGAAACUCCAGUGCACAGAAUCCGGCUUAUCGGUGGGCUUCACAC